AAGUAUGAAGCGAUCAAUUGCAAUUAGUUUCGACCUAAUCUUAGGUAAAAAAUACCCUUACUUU
RNAcentral lists this transfer RNA (64 nucleotides) under Protohermes subnubilus. RNAcentral describes it as "tRNA-Arg". The record is from RNAcentral. Lineage: Eukaryota; Metazoa; Arthropoda; Insecta; Megaloptera; Corydalidae.